RNAcentral lists this ribosomal RNA (448 nucleotides) under uncultured bacterium. RNAcentral's name for it is "bacterial SSU rRNA". It matches the Rfam family "Bacterial small subunit ribosomal RNA", at positions 331 to 793 of the family's 1533-position model. The record is from RNAcentral.
CCAGACUCCUACGGGAGGCAGCAGUGGGGAAUAUUGCACAAUGGGGGAAACCCUGAUGCAGCAACGCCGCGUGAAGGAAGACGGUUUUCGGAUUGUAAACUUCUAUCAAUAGGGAAGAAAGAAAUGACGGUACCUAAAUAAGAAGCCCCGGCUAACUACGUGCCAGCAGCCGCGGUAAUACGUAGGGGGCAAGCGUUAUCCGGAAUUACUGGGUGUAAAGGGUGAGUAGGCGGCACUGUAAGUAAGAUGUGAAAGCCUUAGGCUUAACCUGAGGAUUGCAUUUGGAACUAUCAAGCUAGAGUACAGGAGAGGAAAGCGGAAUUCCUAGUGUAGCGGUGAAAUGCGUAGAUAUUAGGAGGAACACCAGUGGCGAAGGCGGCCUGCUGGACGACAACUGACGGUGAGGCGCGAAAGCGUGGGGAGCAAACAGGAUUAGAUACCCUGGUAU